AGAUCUUCCCUUCUAUCUAGUAUCUUCUUUACCACCCAAGAAGCUGUCUUGGGUGAUGGCAUUGUUUCUAAGUCCCUUUGCUUGAUGUAGUAGCUGUGCACCCAUCUAAUCCACAAGCAAUCCUUUUUGUUAGCCAAAUUCCAGAGGUGUUUGCUGAUGGCUGCCUUAUUCCAAACUGUCAUGUCUAUAAUGUUUAGACCUCCUGCAGAGAGGGGUCUGCAAACACUGUCCUAAGCCACUAAAGCCUUUCUGGAUAGCUUCACACUCCCAGUCCAAAGAAAUGUUCUACAAAUAGUUUCAAUAGCUUUCAACACUUUCUUAGGAAGGAUAAACACUUGAGCCCAAUAAGUUUGAAUGCCAAAUAUGACUGACUUGAUGAGCUGACAUCUGCCAGCAUAGGAGAGCAUUCUAGCAGACCAGCAAGUAACUUUAGCUGUGAUCUUCUCAAUAAUUGGGAGAUAAUGGCCAACAGAUAGCUUUUUAGAAUCAAGGGGGAUUCCCAGAUAUCUGAAAGGUAGUUUACCUUCAGUGAAUCCCAGUUCUUCCAGAAUCAGAACCUUAUCAUCCAGUGUAGUGCCAGCUAUAUAUAGUGCACUCUUUGACAGAUUAGCUUGCAACCCUGAUGCAUUUGAAAUUUAUUGGGAGAUAAUGGCCAACAGAUAGCUUUUUAGAAUCAAGGGGGAUUCCCAGAUAUCUGAAAGGUAGUUUACCUUCA
Molecule: long non-coding RNA, 715 nt
Filed under: Nicotiana benthamiana
Lineage: Eukaryota; Viridiplantae; Streptophyta; Magnoliopsida; Solanales; Solanaceae
Description: long non-coding RNA (NBEN_LNC009219)
Source: RNAcentral